UUUUUUUCCUAUUAUUAUGUUGAUAUUUUUUAUUUUUAAAAAAUGAUUUGUCAAUUGAAUUAUACAAAGGAAAUAAAAUGGGACUAUGGAUUUUUAACGAAGAAGUGUAAAGAUGCGGGUAUUGAAGAUAAAUUCGAUGCUCACCAGAUGCGUCUCCGGGCUAACUACGUCGGCGUGUUUCUUAUGCUGCAUUUGUUUUUCACAAUAUUGCAUUGCACUUUGUUAUUGACGACCUGUGUGUACCUGGAUUUAAUAUAUAUAGACGUUUUCUGCUAUGUAGCAUUGACCGCUGUCAUCAUUGCAGUAAUGUGGCCUAACAUAAAUGUGGAAUUUGUGAUGAGACAUAAAUUUAUGAUGUCCCUUACAUCGAUGAUUGCCGUGAUGGCUAUUGUUUCAGUUGAUCUGCUGCUUAAUUAUUUCCAUAAUCGAAAUAGUGAUUGGAUAUUGGAAACAAUCUUUGAUGUAUACAUUAUAUUAAUGAUUUAUAUGUUUUUCCCGAUUCCAUAUGUGCUUGCGACGAUGCUUGCGUUUUCUGUGACUAUAACGUAUAUAACUUACUUUGGAUUCUAUCUUGGCGUUGAGCACCGAAAAAAAAUGGGUUAUACGACACGUUUCAACCAAUUUAUUGUUGAGUUAUGCAACUAUAUUUGCCUAAAUAUGAUGGGUACCUAUUUUCGCGUAAUGCGCGAGAUAGUUGUGCGCGCCUCGCUCCUUGAUCGACAUCAGUAUGUAAUGGAGGAUACUACGUUAAGGAGCGCACGUGCGCAGGAAAGAGUAUUUUUGCAUAGCAUACUGCCACCGCAGAUAGCAGAGCCCAUUCAAGAUGAUAUUCGAAAGCGACUUGAAUCCAUGGAAAAGCAACACAAAAUGCCCUCUAUCAGGAGAACAUGUCGAAUUAUAUCCAUUCAAAUUCAUACAGACGUCACUAUUCUGUAUGCAGAUAUAGUUAACUACACCAUGUUAACCACAAAGUUACCCGUUAAGAGGCUUAUCGCUUUACUGCACGCUUUAUAUGCCAGAUUUGAUAAGGCUGCUUCCAAGUAUGCUGUGCAGCGAAUCAAAUUCUUAGGAGACUGCUACUAUUGUGUAGCGGGUCUUAUAAACCCAGAUCCUAACCAUGCCAAAUGCUGCGUGGAUUUAGGUCUUUGUAUGAUCGAUAGUAUUCGAGAAAUUCGAGACAAAGUAAAAAUUGACGUCGACAUGCGUGUGGGUGUGCAUUCGGGAGAAUUGUUUGCUGGUGUCCUAGGGGCAGCGAAACUACAAUAUGAUAUUUGGGGUACAGAUGUCUUAAUUGCGAAUCAAUUGGAAUCAACUGGUAUGCCUGGUCAAAUUCAUGUUAGCGAAAGAACUCUGCAAAUGACAGACGACAGGUACAAAGUAUAUCCUGGCACCGAUACAGCACGCAAAGAUCAUUUCCUUCGCAAGUUCAAUGUUGUCACAUUCCUUAUUACCGGUAUUGAUGAAAAUAAAACAAAUGAAUUUAAAUCUUUUGAGUAUCUUGGCUCAACAUGCUCUAUAAAAGAGACAAAUGACAAUGGGCUAUCUUUAGAUGAAGAAUUGAAAAAGAUGCCGCUUGGUCCCAAAGGACUUAAAGAAGUCGUGUAUGAAAUAUUUAAUUUUAAACACAAAAAAGAACAAAAAGGAAAGUCAACUACGGCCAAGUCAGAAAUUGGAAGUUUUUUAUUGCAUUUUCAUGAUUCCCGACUGGAAUAUAAGUAUAUCCACCAACCCGACUAUAUGUUGAAAUACAGUGUUCUUCUAGCCUGGUGCUGCGGUAUGACUCUUAUAUACGUACAACUAUUUUAUAACCAAAAAAAGGACAACUUCUCAGUUUAUGUGGAUAUAGUUCUUAUAAUUACGUUAUCCAUGCUGUUAUUUAUAACUUGGUAUAAGAAGAUCUGCCAUUGGCGCUAUUCCACAAUGUUACACACAUACUCACCUUUCACCUGCUUCUUAUUUAAAAUCGCUGAUAGUUUACAGCGCAGUCUCAUCAAUCGCAUCGGUAUAUAUAUGUACUUCAUUAUAUCUUACUUUUGUAUUAUUGCUCUUAUGCUGAAUGAUUGUGAUCGGGAUGAAUUCCAGUUAAUGCAUAUCGACAGCAUACAGUACAAGUACGAGCCUGAUUUUAUGAUGUGCUUCGCCCCGUGGACCCUGACGUGUAUGUUAUAUUUUUCAAGGAGCGACAGACGGAAUUCGAUAAUAAAAUCAAUUACAAAUGGAGUGUGGAGCUAAUAAAAAAACAGGAUGAUUCCCGUAUAGCUGCCCAAUCGAUAACAAUUUUAUUGCACAACAUUUUGCCAGCCCAUGUUGUCAAUGUCUACCUGACUUCGUUGGCCAAACACGAGCUUUAUUAUGAGAGCUACGAUAUGGUGGCUGUUAUGUUCGCUUCCCUCAAAAA
Molecule: unclassified non-coding RNA, 2398 nt
Filed under: Drosophila mojavensis
Lineage: Eukaryota; Metazoa; Arthropoda; Insecta; Diptera; Drosophilidae
Description: GI13944
Source: RNAcentral